Molecule: long non-coding RNA, 1029 nt
Organism: Ailuropoda melanoleuca (giant panda)
Lineage: Eukaryota; Metazoa; Chordata; Mammalia; Carnivora; Ursidae
Exons: 2
Source: RefSeq, a predicted model, not a curated record
UGGUCUAUAUAUUGUAUAAAGCAUGCAAGGCGAUAUUAUUCAGCAAUAAAAAGGAAUUAUAUUCGGAUACAUGCUACAACAUGAACCAACUUGGAAAGAUGCCAAGUGGACGGAGCCAGUCACAAGAGACCACAUGUGACAUUACUCGGCUGAUUCGCCAGGGUGACUCCUGUUCUCUGGGUGCUUUCCAGCAGCCCCUGCUCCCACCACCCCACUACAUGGUCUCCGAUCAUGGUGGCCUCCUUGUAGGCGACCACCACACCUGAUGUCUGCGUUCUGGAACACAGGCUGGUUCUCGGUCCUCCUGCCACCCAACCACCCCCUGGCCGGCGUCUGGCAGGUUGCUCCCUUAUGCUCACCACUGCUGCUGCCCUGGCCAGGCCCUCCUCCACCUGGUUGGCUGCUCCUUCUUCACCCCUGCUGCUCCCGCAUCCAGUCUUUCUCAUCCCUCAGCCCAGACUUCCCUCCUGGCUCCAGUCCCUCCCGCACCACUGCCCGCUUGGUCUCCAACUUCACACUCGGAAACUGAGCUCCUGUUACCCACACUCGCCACUCAAAACCGCAACCAACAAACAACCACCACAACAAACCGGGCCCCGCUUCAUCUCCCCUGCCUCUGGGUCAUCUCCGGCUGCUGUCCCCGGCCCUCGCUCUUCCAGCCACAUCGGCUCCUCCCAGCUCCAUCACCAGGCUAGGGCCAUCCCCACCCCAGGGCAUUUGCACUUGUUGCUUCCUCUGCCUUGGAUGGUCUUUUCCCAAAUAUCUGCCUCAUUUCUUGCAGGGCUUGACUCAAGUUCACCUUUUCAGGGACACCUGGCCUGGUCACUCGAUCUGCGAUUGCAGCCACCCAGCCCUCACCGAGCCCCUCCCUGAAUUGUUAUCUGUAGCCCUCAGUCCUUCUAACAUCCUCUGUUAUAUACUUGUCCCCACCCCACCCCCACGGAGAGGAUCCACAUCAAGGACAGCGAUGAGAUCAUCUCUUCAGAAAACAAAUCAACAGACGAAUGAAUAAAUAAGAUGUGGUGUGUA